This 254-nucleotide ribosomal RNA is filed under the name uncultured bacterium. RNAcentral's name for it is "partial 16S ribosomal RNA". It matches the Rfam family "Bacterial small subunit ribosomal RNA", at positions 524 to 776 of the family's 1533-position model. The record is from RNAcentral.
UACGUAGGGUGCGAGCGUUGUCCGGAAUUACUGGGCGUAAAGGGUUCGUAGGUGGUUUGAUAAGUUAUCUGUAAAAGCCCUGGGCUCAACCUAGGAAGGUCAGAUAAUACUGUUGGACUCGAGUAUGGGAGAGGGUAGUGGAAUUUCCGGUGUAGCGGUGAAAUGCGUAGAGAUCGGAAGGAACACCAGUGGCGAAGGCGGCUACCUGGCCUAAUACUGACACUGAGGAACGAAAAGCGUGGGGAGCAAACAGG